UCACCUGGAGGGAGCACGGCCGUGGGGACGGGCCCCAGAGAGAUUUCGGCAGCAGGGAGGCUGCGCGGGCCCAGCCUGCGGACGUGCGUUCCCACGCAGCACUGCGGCCCAGGGGCUGGCGCGGCAGGGCCCCCGGUGUCCUUGGUGGCACUGUGCGCCCUCGCCGCUCGCCCCUGGGACUGGCACGGCAGACAGGACAGCACCCAGGGGAGUCAAGGGCACUGACGAGACCAGACUAGGCGAGGCGCCGGAGCCUGGCGGCGAGCGAGGCCAAGGCGGGCCUCUGCGGGUGACAACGGAGCAGAGAUGGGUGACUCUGCGCUCGCACCGGAGACAGCCUCGUCUCCAGUGGGGGUGGACACACUGCCAGCACCACAGGCCGGACGCCAGGAUGUGCUUGGAGGGACAUGACACAGUCCGGUGUGACGGAGAGGGACAGACGUGACGCCGUCCGGCCUUCCUGAACACUCUCGGCUGGCCCCGCGGGGGAGCUGCCACACCCAGCGUCUGUUCCUUUGCCUUCCUGAAGGAGCACGUGCAUGACUGCUGCUCUCUGGACCCCAGAACCCUCAAACGACAAGAGAUGGUGCUACCCAGCUCAUGCCUGGGCCUUGGACCCGGACUUCUUCAAGUCCUCCUAGCUCUGACUCAAGAAUAUGCUGCAUUCUGGAGCCACUACACUACUUGACUCAGGAAUCAGCUCUGGAAGGUUGAGCCAAAGGAACAGACGUCCCACACCACCGGACCAACGGCACCCGCGGGGUUCCCCACCCCCCGCCCGGCCACUCCACCUCGGCGGCCACCCCCUGCUGCGCCCUGGAGACACCACCAGCCUCCCUCUCUCCCCUUCCUCCUUUUUUUCCUCUGUCUUUUCUCUUCUCUUCUUUCCUCUCCUUUGCUCAGAAGACUCGGGGCAUCCAGGACUCUGUGUCCCCGUCCUUCUUGAAUUAAUUUGCACUAAGUCGUUUGCACUGGUUUGGAGUCCUGGAACCAGCCCCGGGUCUCGGAGCGGGUGUGUGAGCUGCCGAGUGGCCUGGCCUCCUCGGCCCGCGCCCCCUCAGCACCUGCCAUUGUCCAUCUCUGUCUGGGGGUGACUGGGUGGGGGCCUGAGUGUGUGGGGCCCCGCCCUCCCCUCUCCUAGUCUGGAAGCUCCGACCACCGAGCAGACCUCAAACGCUGCACUGAGUGUCCAUCUCGUCAUGUGCCCCUCCUCGCCAGGGCCACCCCAGAGCCCUGGACUCAUCAAUAAACUCAGUUACC
RNAcentral lists this long non-coding RNA (1260 nucleotides) under Sus scrofa (pig). Its description in RNAcentral is "lncRNA (ENSSSCG00050007982.1)". Lineage: Eukaryota; Metazoa; Chordata; Mammalia; Artiodactyla; Suidae. The record is from RNAcentral.